GCUCAUGAGCUUCUAAAAUACAAAAUCUGCAAUGUUUACUUAUUAACUAUAGAUAAGUUUUUUCAAAGGCAUUGCUUUAUUCUUCUAAGAUAUAUGGUCUACUGCUUCAGACCAUCUAAAUGUAUGGAUCUCUCUCUCUCUCUCUCUCUCUCUCUCUCUCUCUCUCUCUCUCUCUCUCUCUCUCUCUCUCCCUCCCUCCUUCCCUCCCUCCCUUUUUUCCUCCCUCCUUCCCUCCCUCUCUCCCUUCCUUCCUUCCUUCCUUCCUUCCUUCCUUCCUUCCUUCCUUCCUUCCUUUUUUUUUUAGCUAUUUUAUUGGGUUCUUAUACUUACCACUCUUCCAGCCCCUUUUUCACCUUAAUUCCUUCCAAGAUCCCAACACUAGGUAGGAGAGAAAGAAGGUUAGAGAGGAAAGAGGGCAUAGACCUCUUUAGACUACAUCCUGUUUACUAGGGGAAUUGAGUUCCUUGAGGCAAGUCCUGUCUUCGUUGUAAAAAUAUCUCCAAACAGCAAUCCAGCAAACACAACAGAAAGAACCAGUAGCAGCCACCACAGACCCUCUCAGGACUCUUUGCUUUAUUGUCUCUCCAGAACCCUCAGAAUUAAACUAUCUGCAGUUUGAAAAAAAAAUUAGAGUUCUGCUACUGCUCAAGGCAAAUCCUAAUCACCUGCUGUGAGGCAGCCUCUUAUCUCACCCCUUGAAUUAAAACAAAAACAUAUUCACAUACCGUUUUUAAAUUAAGAAACCAAAAUUCUCACUGCAAUACUGAAACUAACAGAGACUCAAAUGAAUGGGGAUCCAAUCUGUGUUUUGGAAUCAGAAGAUUUAAU
This 828-nucleotide long non-coding RNA is filed under the name Mus musculus (house mouse). RNAcentral's name for it is "long non-coding RNA chr18:59417865-59418693". The record is from RNAcentral. Lineage: Eukaryota; Metazoa; Chordata; Mammalia; Rodentia; Muridae.